Molecule: ribosomal RNA, 779 nt
Filed under: uncultured Neocallimastigales
Lineage: Eukaryota; Fungi; Neocallimastigomycota; Neocallimastigomycetes; Neocallimastigales
Description: partial large subunit ribosomal RNA
Rfam family: Eukaryotic large subunit ribosomal RNA
Source: RNAcentral
UACGACUACAUAUCAGGCAUAUCAAUAAGCGGAGGAAAAGAAACUAACUAGGAUUCCCUCAGUAACGGCGAGUGAAGCGGGAAGAGCUCAAAUUUGAAAUCUUCAAGGUUUUACCUUGACGAAUUGUAGUUUAAAGAAGUGUUUUCUGUUGGUGUUUUGGUAAAAGUUCUUUGGAAUAGGACAUCAUAGAGGGUGAGAAUCCCGUAUUUGACCAUUACUUCCAGCGUUGUGAUACACUUUCAAAGAGUCGGAUUGUUUGGGAACGCAGUCCAAAAUGGGUGGUAAAUUUCAUCUAAAGCUAAAUAUUGGCGAGAGACCGAUAGCGAACAAGUACCGUGAGGGAAAGAUGAAAAGAACUUUGAAAAGAGAGUUAAACAGUACGUGAAAUUGUCAAAAGGGAAGCGUUUGACACCAGUGUUGUUUUCUCGAAAAUCAAUUAAAAAUGACUGGAUUUUGUGUUGUAUUGACUUUAUCAGCUUUCUGCACUUUUUUCUUGUCUUUUUUAAUGCACUUUUCGUUUAACAAGUCAACAUCAAUUUCUUUUGUUGUAAAAGAGUCAUUGGAAGGUGGCUUUCACUUUCGGUGAAAGUGUUUAUAGCCUUUGACUUCUGCAAUCGGAGAGAUUGAGGUCUGCAGCGUAGAUCCUUCGGGGUUAGAUACAUUAGAUGCUAAGUUAUAGCUUUGUAUAGACAACUUGUUGACUAUGAUUAAGUCAUGUAGCUUACUCGCUUGUACGCUAUUUUACCUACGCUUAGGAUGUUGAUCUCUCACAGUCGAGC